UAGGGAAUCUUCCACAAUGGAGGAAAGUCUGAUGGAGCAACGCCGCGUGAGUGAAGAAGGGUUUCGGCUCGUAAAACUCUGUUGUUAAAGAAGAACAUAUCUGAGAGUAACUGUUCAGGUAUUGACGGUAUUUAACCAGAAAGCCACGGCUAACUACGUGCCAG
This 164-nucleotide ribosomal RNA is filed under the name uncultured bacterium. Its description in RNAcentral is "partial 16S ribosomal RNA". It matches the Rfam family "Bacterial small subunit ribosomal RNA", at positions 355 to 511 of the family's 1533-position model. The record is from RNAcentral.